GCAUUUUUCAUUUUCCAUCAUCCUUGUAUUUAUAUAAAAAUAUCCCCUUUUCAUAAAAGCUGCAUUUUCGAUAGCUCUUAUGACUGCAGUGUUAAAUCAUCAUGGCAGUUGUUGGCUUUGGGUGUAAAAAGAUGUUGUAUGUAUGCAGUCACUCAAGCACUAACACCCAUGUACCGUUCACCAAUUUGGGCAAGAAGGUAAAUAAGAAUAUCUUUUUCCCCCCUUCACAUAGUCAAAUUAAAAAAUCUGGUGCCUGUUAGAAAGUGAGAUCUAAACUGGAUUUUAUGGAAGGGUUAUCUCUAUCUCUGAUUUUUUGAUAUUCAAAAAAUGUUUUGUGCAUUCAAAGAAAGAAAGGAAAGAAGGAAGGAAGGAAGGAAGGAAGGAAGGAAGGAAGGAGAAGGAAGGAAGACAGUUAAACAAACAAUUCCAAUGUUGCUUAGAAGCAAGCAGCAAUACCUGACCAAUCUGCUAGUGUUCUCAAUUCUUUCCCAUUGCCCACCUCUUCUCAGGAGUGUUGAAGGCAAGUAGCUAGUGGGAGAGAACAGGAAAAUGAGAUUUUCACCCACCACAAACUGGAUGAGGAAAAUGAGGAACAAGUCCACUCAGCUACUAAUUCGUGGAGAACAAGAAUCACGUCCAGUCUGAUUCCAAGAUCUACACUCAUCCUAUCCAUAUUAUGCUGCCUUCUCAGGAUAGCAAGUAGUUUGGCUCCUUAAGUGACACUGGAUAUCUUUUUUAAAGAACCCAUGUGUUUGUUUAUGACAUGACUCAAUCUUGCUGGUGAUCUGGAAGGUCUGGUGCCUACUCAUGGAUUCUUUGAAUAAGCCCCAUGUUCUUGCUACUGAAUAAACAUGAUGUAUACCCCAUGUUAUCAAGAGGAUUCAUAGAUGAACAUGUGCUGGGUGCCUCUAAAGAAAGUAGAUCAACAAGUUUUUUUCUUUUGGUGAAGAGCAGAUGGGCUCAAAAUAAACCUCUGGUUCAUCAUACACGCUCAGACAACCCUCCAGGAAAGGGAGGUUUUUGCCCUCCUUUGCAAGGUCAGUCUCUUUCCAUUUUUUCCCCAAAUCCCCCCUCACCCCCACAGGCACUUCUCUUUUAUAUGUUUAAUUACUUCAUAGCUUUUCNCAGGAAAGGGAGGUUUUUGCCCUCCUUUGCAAGGUCUGUCCUGAGAUGUCAUUGUCCGGGCUUGGGAAGUACAGUCUCUGUCUGCCACACCAGGAAUGCCGUCAGCUUGAGUAUGUUUCUUACGUGCGCAUCACACGCGGUGGUUUGGUCAAUGGCCAGUAUUCCCCUUCCCCUUCCCACCUCCUCAUCAUCCCCACGUCGCCGUGUGUCCCUAGCUGUGUGGAAUCUGGGCCCAGCCUUGAGAACAGCUCUGCCUCUCAGGGGAGAGGCUGAUUGGCUAUGCUCUUCACCCCGAA
This 1421-nucleotide long non-coding RNA is filed under the name Vulpes vulpes (red fox). RNAcentral's name for it is "lncRNA (ENSVVUG00000011916.1)". Lineage: Eukaryota; Metazoa; Chordata; Mammalia; Carnivora; Canidae. The record is from RNAcentral.